Molecule: ribosomal RNA, 468 nt
Filed under: uncultured bacterium
Lineage: Bacteria
Description: partial 16S ribosomal RNA
Rfam family: Bacterial small subunit ribosomal RNA
Source: RNAcentral
GAUGAACGCUGGCGGCGUGCCUAAUACAUGCAAGUCGAGCGGAAAGACGCGGCUCUUGCUGGUCUCUCGUUAGCGGCAGGGGGGAGUAACACGCGAGGAACCCCUCCCUGUCUGACUGGUAACACUUCGGAACUCCGGCGAUUAUACCGGAGGAUAUCUUGCACCGUGUGGGUGGUUGGAGAAAGUCGGCGGUGGUGGCUGGUUUCGCUGGUUCUCAGCUUCAUGGUGAGGUAGUGGCUGACCAGGGCUAUGACGGGUAGCCGGCCUGGGAGGGUUACCGGCGACAUUGCGACUGCGAUACGGACCAGACUCCUACGGGCGGCAGCAGUGGGGAAUAUUGCGCAAUGGGCGGAAGCCUGAUGCAGCAACGCCGCGUGCGGGAUGACGGCCUUCGGGUUAUAAACAGCUUUCGCAUGUGACGAAGCGUGAGUGACGGUACUGGGUAAAAAAGCACCGGCUAACUACGUG